GUCGUGUCCAGUCUUCGUGACCCCAUGGACUGCAGCCCACCAGGCUCCUCCAUCCAUGGGAUUUUCCAGGCAAGAGUACUGGAGUGGGGUGCCAUCACCUUCUCCGCUGGCAACAGCAGUGGGGAAUGAAUUAAAGAGUGGUAAACCUGAUGCUAAAGAGGCCUGAUAAAUGGUUACUGAUGAUUCCAGCAAGAAGUAAGAAGGGUUUACACCUGGGCAACAGCGGUGGGCAGUGGAUUAGCAGAUCAGAUGAAGAAGAAAGAUCUCGAAGUUACAACAGUUCGUCUACAAUUUUAUAAACACUGAUGCACUUGGGCCGCCUGAAGUGUGUAGUGCUGUUUGUCCUAAACUAAUGGCCCCCAUCUUCUAUGGGGAGCAAUAACCAUGCGUGCUGGGAAAACUAUUUCUAGGUGCAUCCUUGAGGGUGUUUCUGAAAGAGAUUAGCAUCUGAAUUGGCAGACCAUAGCCUCAUCAGCGCAGCUGGGCAUCAUCAAUUCUCUUAAGGACCUGAAAAAGACCAAAAGGUGGAGGAGGGGUGAGUUCACUCUCUGCCUGAGCCCAGAUAUUUCUCUCUUCCCACUUUUGGAGGUCAGUGCUCCUGGUUCUCAGGCCUUCAGACUUGGAUUGAUCUCCACCACUGGCUUCCCUUGUCUUCCAGAUGGCAAGCUAUGGGACUCCUUGCCUCCAUAAUCACGCCAGCUGAGUCACCACAGAGGAGAGGAAAUGAUAGAGAAGUUCCAAAUUCCACAGAAGUGGGUCAGUGAAGAGCUCCUGGAAGCCCAUGCUCGCCCUGGUGUGUGCAAAUCCUGAGUGACCACCCAGCCUUUAGUCCUGACUGCUAGGUUGUCCUACCUCAUCUGCGAGGCAGGAGGUGACCUCAUGUGUCCUCGACUCAAGCAAGACCUAGUCACGUGAGGCUACAACUUGUAAUUCUUCCUGGAAGCUUCCAGAAACAGAAGACUGUUCUUAUUCUAAAAUCCUAACAGAUUGAAGAGGAUCGUCUCCUGGUCACACUGACAGUCCUCCCAGUAAAGGGAUUUUUACUGAAGCACCAUUGUUCUCUGCCGCAUGUUCAAACAGAUAAUUCCCUAGAAAGACAAUUUCUUCUCUGGGCUAUUGCAAACUGCCUUUCUGCUCACCCUUCCUCAUGAUCAAAUUAACCCUCACUCCCAUGGAGAGAACCUACUGCUACACCAGGGCAGAGACUACUAGCUGACUACCCAACAUCCAUUCCCCUCCUUCACUAGUGACAACUCUGAUCUUAUCUUGGGCUGCAUUGGGCCCAGCAAAAAAUGACAUUUCCCAACUUUCCUUGCAGAUUGGGCUACCAAUGUGACUAAGAUCUGGCCAAUGAGAGGAAGCAUAUAUGCAUCCCCAAAGAAAACUCAUUAAAAGGACUUGAUUCAAUUGAAAGGUUUUUUGCAAAUCCUCCCCUUCAUCGUUCUUGUUCCAUUGGAAGAGGUGCCGGGAGCCAGCAUGAGGAAUUCCGCACGUGGCAAAGGUCAUGAGGAAGGAG
Molecule: long non-coding RNA, 1516 nt
Organism: Bubalus bubalis (water buffalo)
Lineage: Eukaryota; Metazoa; Chordata; Mammalia; Artiodactyla; Bovidae
Exons: 3
Source: RefSeq, a predicted model, not a curated record